This 500-nucleotide ribosomal RNA is filed under the name uncultured Glomeromycotina. RNAcentral describes it as "partial small subunit ribosomal RNA". It matches the Rfam family "Eukaryotic small subunit ribosomal RNA", at positions 591 to 1092 of the family's 1831-position model. The record is from RNAcentral. Lineage: Eukaryota; Fungi; Glomeromycota.
CCAAUAGCGUAUAUUAAAGUUGUUGCAGUUAAAAAGCUCGUAGUUGAAUUUCGGGAUCAUCACGUCGGUCGUGCCUCCGGUACGUACUGGCAUCGUUGAUUUCUACCUUCUGACGAACCAUGAUGUCAUUAAUUUGGUGUCAUGGGGAAUCAGGACUGUUACUUUGAAAAAAUUAGAGUGUUUAAAGCAGGCACACGCUUGAAUACAUUAGCAUGGAAUAAUGAAAUAGGACGUUUGACCCUAUUUUGUUGGUUUCUAGGAUCGACGUAAUGAUUAAUAGGGAUAGUUGGGGGCAUUAGUAUUCAAUUGUCAGAGGUGAAAUUCUUGGAUUUAUUGAAGACUGACUACUGCGAAAGCAUUUGCCAAGGAUGUUUUCAUUAAUCAAGAACGAAAGUUAGGGGAUCGAAGACGAUCAGAUACCGUCGUAGUCUUAACCAUAAACUAUGCCGACUAGGGAUCGGAUGAUGUUAAUUUUUUAAUGACUCAUUCGGCGCCUUACG